RNAcentral lists this ribosomal RNA (244 nucleotides) under Thaumasia heterogyna. RNAcentral describes it as "partial 12S ribosomal RNA". Lineage: Eukaryota; Metazoa; Arthropoda; Arachnida; Araneae; Pisauridae. The record is from RNAcentral.
CCCACACAUACCGGCGGCAUUUAUUCUCAUUAGAGGAACCUGUUAUUUAAUCGAUAAUCCACGAUAAUUUUCACUUUUUUAUAAAAUUUAUAUACCGCCAUCUAAAGAAUUAAUUUCAUAAUAUUAUUCAAAAAAAAAAUUAAAAAGUUAGGUCAAGGUGUAAUCUACACUAAAGAAAAAAAUGGGUUACAUUAAACAUAAUUUAAGGAAGUUGAAUUUUAAACUUCAACAAAAAAAGGAUUUA